RNAcentral lists this small RNA (692 nucleotides) under Pan troglodytes (chimpanzee). RNAcentral's name for it is "processed transcript". The record is from RNAcentral. Lineage: Eukaryota; Metazoa; Chordata; Mammalia; Primates; Hominidae.
AGAGCUGCGCGCCGCGGCGGCGGAAGAUGGCUGCGGCCGAGGUGGCGGACACUCAGCUGAUGCUUGGAGUCGGGCUGAUCGUGACCAUCUUUCCACCGUAGAAAAGGACACAAAUGGAGAAGUUCUGUGGGUGUGGUGUUAUCCUUCCACGACAGCCACAUUAAGGAACCUGCUGCUGAGAAAAUGCUGCCUUACAGAUGAAAACAAACUUCUCCAUCCCUUUGUCUUUGGUCAGUACAGAAGAACAUGGUUUUAUAUCACAACAAUUGAAGUUCCAGAUUCUUCCAUUUUGAAAAAGAAUGUACCUGAAACAUGGGAGCCCAGUUAAAAUGAUGGAGAGUUAUAUUGCAGUUCUCACAAAGGGGAUAUGCCAGAGUGAAGAAAACGGCUCUUUCCUUAGUAAGGAUUUUGAUGCCCGAAAGGCCUACCUGGCUGGCUCCAUCAAAGACAUUGUAUCUCAGUUUGGAAUGGAAACUGUUAUCUUACACACAGCACUGAUGCUAAAGAAAAGAAUUGUGGUGUAUCACCCCAAGAUAGAAGCAGUCCAGGAGUUCACCAGGACUCUGCCUGCCCUGGUGUGGCACCGACAGGACUGGACCAUCCUUCACUCUUACGUGCACCUCAACGCCGAUGAGCUGGAAGCCCUGCAGAUGUGCACAGGUUACGUCGCUGGAUUUGUAGACUUGGAGGUG